AUCAGAGAGAAGUCUGUCGUUUCACCCUAAAAUCGAGCUAUGACAUUUUGAUUAAGAAUUAUGAGGUCAAAAUUAUGUGUCAUUCACAAUAGGAUCUAUAACAUGCAUUUACAAAAUAGACAGGGUGAAUUUUCAUUUCAUUCCAGUCCAUAACAUGUUGCAGGAUUACUGUGCGGACAUUGUUUGACUGUCAUCCAGAGGGAGGAGUUUCUGCCUUGGCCCUAUCAAAAGGAUUCAAAAUAUCUAGCGACUGUUGGAGCUGGAGCAGCACUGGUCUGAACAUCUAUUAUGUUAAGUGAAAUGUGCUUAACAAAGAUGAUUGCAGUAAAAAGAUCAAAUGAAAUAACAGAAUAUUAUCACAGGCUACAAAUACACUGGUCUGUGUACUUUUUUACUGUGUUUCAGCGAGUGUGUGUUUGGAACUGGACAGAUGAAAGUGAAAGCCCAGAAUGUCAAGUUGACCUCAGUCCAAAAUAUGGUUGCCAGAAUCAAAUACUUUUCAAUCCCUCUGACAACACACAGUUGGUCAGCAACAGCGGCACUCAGGUUCUCUUCUACAACUGGGUAGGAAUUAAUUAUUUAUUUACAUUACUGAUUUACUAGUUUAGUU
This 610-nucleotide long non-coding RNA is filed under the name Sinocyclocheilus anshuiensis. RNAcentral's name for it is "lncRNA (ENSSANG00000014092.1)". Lineage: Eukaryota; Metazoa; Chordata; Actinopteri; Cypriniformes; Cyprinidae. The record is from RNAcentral.